GGGGGGGGGGGGGGGGGGGGGGGGGGGGGGCGGGGCGGGCGGGGGGGCCGUGCUGGUGUGGGGGGCGCGGGUGGCGAACGGGUGAGUAACGCGUGGGUCACCUGCCCUUGACUUUGGGAUCACUUCAGGAAACUGGGGCUAAUACCGGAUAGGAGCUCCUGCUGCAUGGUGUGGGUUGGAAAGUUUCGGCGGUUGGGGAUGGACUCGCGGCUUAUCAGCUUGUUGGUGGGGUAGUGGCUUACCAAGGCUUUGACGGGUAGCCGGCCUGAGAGGGUUGCCGGCCAAAUUGGGACUGAGAUACGGCCCAGACUCCUACGGGAGGCAGAAGGGGGGAAUAUUGCACAAUGGGCGGAAGCCUGAUGCAGCAACGCCGCGUGCGGGAUGACGGCCUUCGGGUUGUAAACCGCUUUCGCCUGUGACGAAGCGUGAGUGACGGUAAUGGGUAAAGAAGCACCGGCUAACUACGUG
RNAcentral lists this ribosomal RNA (468 nucleotides) under uncultured bacterium. RNAcentral's name for it is "partial 16S ribosomal RNA". It matches the Rfam family "Bacterial small subunit ribosomal RNA", at positions 35 to 507 of the family's 1533-position model. The record is from RNAcentral.